CAAACAAAAAGAAUCUAUCUCAGAUUGAAUAUGAAAAACCAUCGUCAGGUAAUGUGAUGGUUGUAUUGCUGCUGCUGCUGCUGCUGCUGCUGCUGCUGCUGCUAUAUUUCCCUGAUCAGUUUUUGCUAUUAUAAUGUUGUACGGGGCAACAACAAUUCAAAUAGCAACUAUUAAUUUCUACUACUACAACAAAGAAAGAAAAUUUACAUGUAUGUAGUAGAGAAAAGAAUGUGGUGCGCAUUAUUAAUUU
RNAcentral lists this unclassified non-coding RNA (250 nucleotides) under Gongylonema pulchrum. Its description in RNAcentral is "ITS2". The record is from RNAcentral. Lineage: Eukaryota; Metazoa; Nematoda; Chromadorea; Rhabditida; Gongylonematidae.